Molecule: ribosomal RNA, 590 nt
Filed under: Phrynoderma kerala
Lineage: Eukaryota; Metazoa; Chordata; Amphibia; Anura; Dicroglossidae
Description: partial large subunit ribosomal RNA
Rfam family: Bacterial large subunit ribosomal RNA
Source: RNAcentral
GGGUUACACUAAAAAAAAGGGUCAAGCCCUGCCCAGAUGACACAGUUUAAACGGCCGCGGUACCCUAACCGUGCGAAGGUAGCAUAAACAGAUUGGUCUCUAAAUAGGGACUAGUAUGAAAGGCACUACGAGGGCUUUACUGUCUCCUUUCUCCAAUCAGUGAAACUGAUCUCCCUGUGAAAAAGCAGGGAUAAAGAUAUUAGACGAGAAGACCCCAUGGAGCUUUAAACCCAACAACAACCCAAACGCUUCAACUCCUAAUAGUUUUACAAAGUACUGCUUGUUGGUUUUAGGUUGGGGUGACCGCGGAGAACAAACAAACCUCCACGACGUACGGGACCAACCCCUUACCCGAGAGCCACUCCUCGAAGGAUUAACAAAUUAACGUUAAAUGAUCCAACUUAUUGAUCAACGGACCAAGUUACCCUGGGGAUAACAGCGCAAUCCAUUUCUAGAGCCCCUAUCAAAAAAUGGGUUUACGACCUCGAUGUUGGAUCAGGGUAUCCCGGUGGUGCAGCCGCUACCAACGGUUUGUUUGUUCAACAAUUAAAACCCUACGUGAUCUGAGUUCAGACCGGAAGAAUCGAUAU